ACGCUGGCGGCGUGCCUAAUACAUGCAAGUAGAACGCUGAAGAGAGGAGCUUGCUCUUCUUGGAUGAGUUGCGAACGGGUGAGUAACGCGUAGGUAACCUGCCUUGUAGCGGGGGAUAACUAUUGGAAACGGUAGCUAAUACCGCACAACAAUGGAUGACACAUGUCAUUUAUUUGAAAGGGGCAAUUGCUCCACUACAAGAUGGACCUGCGUUGUAUUAGCUAGUAGGUGAGGUAACGGCUCACCUAGGCGACGAUACAUAGCCGACCUGAGAGGGUGAUCGGCCACACUGGGACUGAGACACGGCCCAGACUCCUACGGGAGGCAGCAGUAGGGAAUCUUCGGCAAUGGGGGCAACCCUGACCGAGCAACGCCGCGUGAGUGAAGAAGGUUUUCGGAUCGUAAAGCUCUGUUGUAAGUCAAGAACGAGUGUGAGAGUGGAAAGUUCACACUGUGACGGUAGCUUACCAGAAAGGGACGGCUAACUACGUGCCAGCAGCCGCGGUAAUACGUAGGUCCCGAGCGUUGUCCGGAUUUAUUGGGCGUAAAGCGAGCGCAGGCGGUUUGAUAAGUCUGAAGUUAAAGGCUGUGGCUCAACCAUAGUUCGCUUUGGAAACUGUCAAACUUGAGUGCAGAAGGGGAGAGUGGAAUUCCAUGUGUAGCGGUGAAAUGCGUAGAUAUAUGGAGGAACACCGGUGGCGAAAGCGGCUCUCUGGUCUGUAACUGACGCUGAGGCUCGAAAGCGUGGGGAGCGAACAGGAUUAGAUACCCUGGUAGUCCACGCCGUAAACGAUGAGUGCUAGGUGUUGGAUCCUUUCCGGGAUUCAGUGCCGCAGCUAACGCAUUAAGCACUCCGCCUGGGGAGUACGACCGCAAGGUUGAAACUCAAAGGAAUUGACGGGGGCCCGCAC
Molecule: ribosomal RNA, 911 nt
Filed under: uncultured bacterium
Lineage: Bacteria
Description: bacterial SSU rRNA
Rfam family: Bacterial small subunit ribosomal RNA
Source: RNAcentral